Molecule: ribosomal RNA, 253 nt
Filed under: uncultured bacterium
Lineage: Bacteria
Description: partial 16S ribosomal RNA
Rfam family: Bacterial small subunit ribosomal RNA
Source: RNAcentral
UACGUAGGGGGCAAGCGUUGUCCGGAUUUAUUGGGCGUAAAGAGCGUGUAGGCGGUCUGGUAGGUCCGUUGUGAAAACUCGAGGCUCAACCUCGAGACGCCGAUGGAAACCCUCAGACUAGAGUCCGGAAGAGGAGAGUGGAAUUCCUGGUGUAGCGGUGAAAUGCGCAGAUAUCAGGAGGAACACCGGUGGCGAAGGCGGGUCUCUGGGCCGAUACUGACGCUGAGGAGCGAAAGCGUGGGGAGCGAACAGG